UACGAAGGGGGCAAGCGUUGUUCGGAAUCACUGGGCGUAAAGCGCGCGUAGGCGGCUUACCAAGUCAGGGGUGAAAUCCCGGGGCUCAACCCCGGAACUGCCUUUGAAACUGGUAAGCUAGAGUUCGGUAGAGGAGUGUGGAAUUCCUAGUGUAGAGGUGAAAUUCGUAGAUAUUAGGAGGAACACCAGUGGCGAAGGCGGCACUCUGGACCGAUACUGACGCUGAGGUGCGAAAGCGUGGGGAGCAAACAGG
Molecule: unclassified non-coding RNA, 253 nt
Filed under: uncultured Rickettsiales bacterium
Lineage: Bacteria; Pseudomonadati; Pseudomonadota; Alphaproteobacteria; Rickettsiales
Description: contains 16S-23S intergenic spacer region
Rfam family: Bacterial small subunit ribosomal RNA
Source: RNAcentral